This 1401-nucleotide ribosomal RNA is filed under the name uncultured bacterium. RNAcentral describes it as "bacterial SSU rRNA". It matches the Rfam family "Bacterial small subunit ribosomal RNA". The record is from RNAcentral.
CGGUAGCACAGAGAGCUUGCUCUCGGGUGACGAGCGGCGGACGGGUGAGUAAUGUCUGGGAAACUGCCUGAUGGAGGGGGAUAACUACUGGAAACGGUAGCUAAUACCGCAUAAUGUCGCAAGACCAAAGUGGGGGACCUUCGGGCCUCAUGCCAUCAGAUGUGCCCAGAUGGGAUUAGCUAGUAGGUGGGGUAACGGCUCACCUAGGCGACGAUCCCUAGCUGGUCUGAGAGGAUGACCAGCCACACUGGAACUGAGACACGGUCCAGACUCCUACGGGAGGCAGCAGUGGGGAAUAUUGCACAAUGGGCGCAAGCCUGAUGCAGCCAUGCCGCGUGUGUGAAGAAGGCCUUCGGGUUGUAAAGCACCUUCAGCGGGGAGGAAGGCGAUAAGGUUAAUAACCUUGUCGAUUGACGUUACCCGCAGAAGAAGCACCGGCUAACUCCGUGCCAGCAGCCGCGGUAAUACGGAGGGUGCAAGCGUUAAUCGGAAUUACUGGGCGUAAAGCGCACGCAGGCGGUCUGUCAAGUCGGAUGUGAAAUCCCCGGGCUCAACCUGGGAACUGCAUUCGAAACUGGCAGGCUAGAGUCUUGUAGAGGGGGGUAGAAUUCCAGGUGUAGCGGUGAAAUGCGUAGAGAUCUGGAGGAAUACCGGUGGCGAAGGCGGCCCCCUGGACAAAGACUGACGCUCAGGUGCGAAAGCGUGGGGAGCAAACAGGAUUAGAUACCCUGGUAGUCCACGCCGUAAACGAUGUCGAUUUGGAGGUUGUGCCCUUGAGGCGUGGCUUCCGGAGCUAACGCGUUAAAUCGACCGCCUGGGGAGUACGGCCGCAAGGUUAAAACUCAAAUGAAUUGACGGGGGCCCGCACAAGCGGUGGAGCAUGUGGUUUAAUUCGAUGCAACGCGAAGAACCUUACCUGGUCUUGACAUCCACAGAACUUUCCAGAGAUGGAUUGGUGCCUUCGGGAACUGUGAGACAGGUGCUGCAUGGCUGUCGUCAGCUCGUGUUGUGAAAUGUUGGGUUAAGUCCCGCAACGAGCGCAACCCUUAUCCUUUGUUGCCAGCGGUUAGGCCGGGAACUCAAAGGAGACUGCCAGUGAUAAACUGGAGGAAGGUGGGGAUGACGUCAAGUCAUCAUGGCCCUUACGACCAGGGCUACACACGUGCUACAAUGGCAUAUACAAAGAGAAGCGACCUCGCGAGAGCAAGCGGACCUCAUAAAGUAUGUCGUAGUCCGGAUUGGAGUCUGCAACUCGACUCCAUGAAGUCGGAAUCGCUAGUAAUCGUAGAUCAGAAUGCUACGGUGAAUACGUUCCCGGGCCUUGUACACACCGCCCGUCACACCAUGGGAGUGGGUUGCAAAAGAAGUAGGUAGCUUAACCUUCGGGAGGGCGCUUACCAC